AAAUUGAAGAGUUUGAUCAUGGCUCAGAUUGAACGCUGGCGGCAGGCCUAACACAUGCAAGUCGAACGGUAACAGGAAGCAGCUUGCUGCUUUGCUGACGAGUGGCGGACGGGUGAGUAAUGUCUGGGAAACUGCCCGAUGGAGGGGGAUAACUACUGGAAACGGUAGCUAAUACCGCAUAACGUCGCAAGACCAAAGAGGGGGGGCCUUCGGGCCUCUUGCCAUCGGAUGUGCCCAGAUGGGAUUAGCUAGUAGGUGGGGUAACGGCUCACCUAGGCGACGAUCCCUAGCUGGUCUGAGAGGAUGACCAGCCACACUGGAACUGAGACACGGUCCAGACUCCUACGGGAGGCAGCAGUGGGGAAUAUUGCACAAUGGGCGCAAGCCUGAUGCAGCCAUGCCGCGUGUAUGAAGAAGGCCUUCGGGUUGUAAAGUACUUUCAGCGGGGAGGAAGGGAGUAAAGUUAAUACCUUUGCUCAUUGACGUUACCCGCAGAAGAAGCACCGGCUAACUCCGUGCCAGCAGCCGCGGUAAUACGGAGGGUGCAAGCGUUAAUCGGAAUUACUGGGCGUAAAGCGCACGCAGGCGGUUUGUUAAGUCAGAUGUGAAAUCCCCGGGCUCAACCUGGGAACUGCAUCUGAUACUGGCAAGCUUGAGUCUCGUAGAGGGGGGUAGAAUUCCAGGUGUAGCGGUGAAAUGCGUAGAGAUCUGGAGGAAUACCGGUGGCGAAGGCGGCCCCCUGGACGAAGACUGACGCUCAGGUGCGAAAGCGUGGGGAGCAAACAGGAUUAGAUACCCUGGUAGUCCACGCCGUAAACGAUGUCGACUUGGAGGUUGUGCCCUUGAGGCGUGGCUUCCGGAGCUAACGCGUUAAGUCGACCGCCUGGGGAGUACGGCCGCAAGGUUAAAACUCAAAUGAAUUGACGGGGGCCCGCACAAGCGGUGGAGCAUGUGGUUUAAUUCGAUGCAACGCGAAGAACCUUACCUGGUCUUGACAUCCACGGAAGUUUUCAGAGAUGAGAAUGUGCCUUCGGGAACCGUGAGACAGGUGCUGCAUGGCUGUCGUCAGCUCGUGUUGUGAAAUGUUGGGUUAAGUCCCGCAACGAGCGCAACCCUUAUCCUUUGUUGCCAGCGGUCCGGCCGGGAACUCAAAGGAGACUGCCAGUGAUAAACUGGAGGAAGGUGGGGAUGACGUCAAGUCAUCAUGGCCCUUACGACCAGGGCUACACACGUGCUACAAUGGCGCAUACAAAGAGAAGCGACCUCGCGAGAGCAAGCGGACCUCAUAAAGUGCGUCGUAGUCCGGAUUGGAGUCUGCAACUCGACUCCAUGAAGUCGGAAUCGCUAGUAAUCGUGGAUCAGAAUGCCACGGUGAAUACGUUCCCGGGCCUUGUACACACCGCCCGUCACACCAUGGGAGUGGGUUGCAAAAGAAGUAGGUAGCUUAACCUUCGGGAGGGCGCUUACCACUUUGUGAUUCAUGACUGGGGUGAAGUCGUAACAAGGUAACCGUAGGGGAACCUGCGGUUGGAUCACCUCCUUACCUUAAAGAAGC
This 1555-nucleotide ribosomal RNA is filed under the name Escherichia coli. Its description in RNAcentral is "bacterial SSU rRNA". It matches the Rfam family "Bacterial small subunit ribosomal RNA". The record is from RNAcentral. Lineage: Bacteria; Pseudomonadati; Pseudomonadota; Gammaproteobacteria; Enterobacterales; Enterobacteriaceae.